AUGGAGACAGAUACACUCCUGCUAUGGGUGCUGCUGCUCUGGGUUCCAGGAUCCACUAGUGACAUUGUGAUGACCCAAUCUCCUGCUUCCUUGGCUGUGUCUCUAGGACAGAGGGCCACCAUCUCCUGCAGAGCCAGCAAAGGUGUCAGUACAUCUAUGCACUGGUACCAACAGAAACCAGGACAGCCACCCAAACUCCUCAUCAAUGGUGCAUCCAACCUAGAAUCUGGGGUUCCUCCCAGGUUCAGUGGCAGUGGGUCUGGAACAGACUUUGCCCUCACCAUCAAUCCUGUGGAGGAUGAUGAUGUUGCAGACUAUUACUGUCAGCAAGGUAAUGAGUUUCCUCCCACAGUGCUCCAGGGCUGA
This is a non-coding RNA of Mus pahari (shrew mouse), 366 nucleotides long. Lineage: Eukaryota; Metazoa; Chordata; Mammalia; Rodentia; Muridae. The record is from the annotation of a RefSeq genome assembly.